GGUGAGGUGUCCGAGUGGCUGAAGGAGCACGCCUGGAAAGUGUGAAUACGGCAACGUAUCCGGGGUUCGAAUCCCCGCCUCACCGCCA
This 88-nucleotide transfer RNA is filed under the name Pseudomonas moorei. RNAcentral describes it as "tRNA-Ser". It matches the Rfam family "tRNA". From Rfam's summary of the family: Transfer RNA (tRNA) molecules are approximately 80 nucleotides in length. The record is from RNAcentral. Lineage: Bacteria; Pseudomonadati; Pseudomonadota; Gammaproteobacteria; Pseudomonadales; Pseudomonadaceae.